This 253-nucleotide ribosomal RNA is filed under the name uncultured bacterium. RNAcentral describes it as "partial 16S ribosomal RNA". It matches the Rfam family "Bacterial small subunit ribosomal RNA", at positions 524 to 776 of the family's 1533-position model. The record is from RNAcentral.
UACAGAGGGUGCAAGCGUUGUUCGGAAUUAUUGGGCGUAAAGCGCGUGUAGGCGGCUUGGCAAGUCGGGCGUGAAAGCCCUCGGCUCAACCGAGGAAGUGCACCCGAAACUGCCUGGCUUGAGUACCGGAGAGGAGGGCAGAAUUCCCCAAGUAGAGGUGAAAUUCGUAGAUAUGGGGAGGAACACCGGUGGCGAAGGCGGCCCUCUGGACGGAUACUGACGCUGAGACGCGAAAGCGUGGGUAGCAAACAGG